This 485-nucleotide ribosomal RNA is filed under the name uncultured beta proteobacterium. RNAcentral's name for it is "bacterial SSU rRNA". It matches the Rfam family "Bacterial small subunit ribosomal RNA", at positions 30 to 508 of the family's 1533-position model. The record is from RNAcentral. Lineage: Bacteria; Pseudomonadati; Pseudomonadota; Betaproteobacteria.
AUUGAACGCUGGCGGCAUGCCUUACACAUGCAAGUCGAACGGUAACAGGGAGCUUGCUCCGCUGACGAGUGGCGAACGGGUGAGUAAUAUAUCGGAACGUACCUUUGAGUGGGGGAUAACUAGUCGAAAGACUAGCUAAUACCGCAUACGAUCUACGGAUGAAAGUGGGGGAUCGCAAGACCUCAUGCUCAUAGAGCGGCCGAUAUCUGAUUAGCUAGUUGGUGAGGUAAAGGCUCACCAAGGCUUCGAUCAGUAGCUGGUCUGAGAGGACGACCAGCCACACUGGGACUGAGACACGGCCCAGACUCCUACGGGAGGCAGCAGUGGGGAAUUUUGGACAAUGGGGGCAACCCUGAUCCAGCAAUGCCGCGUGAGUGAAGAAGGCCUUCGGGUUGUAAAGCUCUUUUGUCAGGGAAGAAACGGGGGAUCCUAAUACGGUCCCCUAAUGACGGUACCUGAAGAAUAAGCACCGGCUAACUACGUGC